AUCACUCCGAGCUGACGUCUAUACUUAAGAUUAGUGUGUCCUUUAAAAGGUUGCCUACAUGGAUUCAGUAAGAGAAACAAACAGGCCAUAUCAUUGUUUCUGCUAUGAGCUCUGAGUGUGGAAAGACCCAAUUUUUGUUUUGUCAUCUACUGAGGUCUAUUGUUAGUGUGUGACCUUUUCAUUUCAUAUUUUUUUCCCUUUCUUUGUUGGGGGAGGAUUGUGUUCUGAAUGGUAAAAAACAAACAAGCAAGUAAACAAACAAACAAAAUCAAGGGAAUUUGUGGAACAUUUUGUAGAACAAAACUGAAUUCAAAAACUGACAACUGCCCAGAGGGUUAAAAGGAAAGGUUUUUCACUUUCCUGGGGGAGAGGGGCGAGAUCCAAAAUCUUGAAGGUUUUACUCUGGAAGGAGACUCUAACAGGAGGAGCAUGUGGCCAAGCAGACCUUCCUUCUAGAACCCCCUGGAUCCCUGCUUGAAUGGCCAGGUUGCCUGAGAGCCAGGUCUGGGUAGGUUUGCCCAGGGUAGGUUUGAGUGUGCAGAGCAGCUGAGCCUAGCUGGAUGCUUUAAUGAGAUAGGCAGCUACAUGAAACAACAAAAGGGAGAUAAAUGUAGAAAGAGCAAGAACUACAAACAUAACAAUAGAGUGUUGGCUCUAUGUGACCAGAGCCUUCUCGCUCUCAUCCAUGGCGCCUGUAGCAGGAAAGCUCUGUACCACAGCUCAAAGGGCUGGGGCACUGGAAGGACCCACAACGAGUCACUGCUGCUCCAAUCCCACUCCCUUGACCUCUUGACCCUUGCAUCUGGGAAUCUGGGGGCAGACUCCGUGUUAUCUUCAUCCAUGACCCUCCUUAUUGUUUAGCUAUCUGCUGAGAGCCUUCCCGGCCCAGCCUUUGCUUACACUGACUCUUCCUGGUAGACCAGUAAGCCAGGACAUCCAUAAACCAAGUGAGACCAUCUGUGAGGUGUUUUGUUCCCUCCUGGGUUCCUAGUAGCUUGCACUGUGUCCUUCUCUCCUCAGAUUAAAGGUCCACUCAAGUCACCUGCUGCCAGAAACCUUCUGGUGCUCCUUACUGCCUGUGAAAUCCUUCACUGUCAGCCUCAAAUUACCUUUAGGACUAAACUCCCAUUCUUGCACUCUUCCCUGCCCCAAACCCACCACAGCUUCCAGGCUGCUGAGGAGAGCAGGUUGGUUAUGUGUUACUCUGUUUCCUGUUCUUUUAAUGAAAUUCCUAGGGCUAGAUAAUUUAUAAAGAAAAAGGGUUUGCUUAGCUCAUAGUUCCACAGUGUCAAGGGUGUAGCAUCAACUGACAUCACAAUGGCAUAGUACAGGACAGGAAGUAGGGGCAUGGCGGCAGGGUCUCAGAAAAGUUCUGCUAAUCUUUCUUAAGGGGUAGAGACCACAGGCUCUCCUCCUGUGCUUCCCUACCCAGGAAUCACCUUGUUGCCUGGCUACCCCUCCCUAAGACUGUGACCCAACGAGAAGCUGGAUCUGCCUUGGGGAAGCUGAACAGUGGAAUGGACUGCCCUUCAGGCUGGAGAGAUGGCUCAGUGGUUAACAGCAUAGGCUGCUCUUCCAGAAGACCUAGGUUCUAUUCCCAGCGCCCUCAUGGCAGCUCACAGUCAUGCGUAACUCCAGUUCCAGAAGAUUCAACACCCUCUUCUGAUGUUCCCAGGUACCAGGAACAACUGUGAUGCACAGACACACACUUAUAUUCAUAAAAUAAAAAUAAAAUUAAAAAUCUUCAUCUGUU
Long non-coding RNA from Mus musculus (house mouse), 1753 nucleotides. RefSeq annotates it as predicted gene, 38530. The record is from RefSeq and is a predicted model, not a curated record. Lineage: Eukaryota; Metazoa; Chordata; Mammalia; Rodentia; Muridae. The transcript has 3 exons.